Non-coding RNA from Trichonephila clavipes, 75 nucleotides. The record is from the annotation of a GenBank genome assembly. Lineage: Eukaryota; Metazoa; Arthropoda; Arachnida; Araneae; Nephilidae.
GGUUCCGUAGUGUAGUGGUUAUCACUUUCGCCUAACACGCGAAAGAGUUCUCUGGUUCGAACUCGGACGGAACCA